Molecule: non-coding RNA, 489 nt
Organism: Pelobates cultripes (western spadefoot toad)
Lineage: Eukaryota; Metazoa; Chordata; Amphibia; Anura; Pelobatidae
Source: the annotation of a GenBank genome assembly
CCAUUUAAGUUUUUUUCUAUUUGUAGGCCAGAUGAAAAUGAGAAGAACUCGCACUAUCCAUUCAUUGUCUGAAAUGACCAGGUUUCUUCAAUGUCAAAGGAGUUCUUUCAAAUUUAAAUCUAAGCUUUUUCUUCAAAUAAAAUCAACUCAACAAAUCAACACAUUCAUGAGAAUGGAGGGUGAGGGGAGACUGAUCUACAACUGGAAAAAAGGGAAGGGAUUGUGAAAAUGGACAACCACUUAUUAUGGGGACUGAUAUUGGAAAAGAAAUUACUACUGGUUAUGGGAACAGGAAUUUGAAAAUAGAUUACUACUGUCUAUGGAAAGAGAUGGAGAGAAUGGGCUACUACUGGCUAUGGGAAGAGGAGAGUGAGAAUGGGCUAUUACUGACUAUAAUGGGGGAACAGGUUGAAUGGGCUACUAUUGGCUAUGAGCAUGAUUGUGGGAGAAUUGGCUACUGAUUAUAGAGCAUGUGGAUACAAUAAAAAC